UACGUAGGCAGCAAACGUUGUUCGGAAUUACUGGGCGUAAAGAGUGUGUAGGCGGUUUUGUAAGUUUGGUGUGAAAUCUCCCGGCUUAACUGGGAGGGUGCGCCGAAAACUGCAAGGCUUGAGUGCUGGAGAGGAGAGCGGAAUUCCUGGUGUAGCGGUGAAAUGCGUAGAUAUCAGGAGGAACACCGGCGGUGUAGACGGCUCUCUGGACAGUAACUGACGCUGAGACACGAAAGCGUGGGGAGCAAACAGG
This 253-nucleotide ribosomal RNA is filed under the name uncultured bacterium. RNAcentral's name for it is "partial 16S ribosomal RNA". It matches the Rfam family "Bacterial small subunit ribosomal RNA", at positions 524 to 776 of the family's 1533-position model. The record is from RNAcentral. RNAcentral also lists the same sequence under 1 other name.